Long non-coding RNA from Corticium candelabrum, 1125 nucleotides. RefSeq lists it as uncharacterized. The record is from RefSeq and is a predicted model, not a curated record. NCBI's taxonomy places the organism in Eukaryota, Metazoa, Porifera, Homoscleromorpha, Homosclerophorida, Plakinidae. The transcript has 5 exons.
CGCCAUUUUGUUUCCAUGCGCGCGACGUAAAAAAUCUGUCUAAAAUCAUACUAGGCUACUGCUGUUUCUACAUUAAAGUGAGUUUUACGUUGCUACUUGUUGCAACUAUUGGACUAUGAUUUACUUCUUCAGAAGCUCGAUAUGUGUCGUUUCCUGAUCAUCGUGGUUUCGGGUGAGAGCGCUACCGAAAUACAGAGAUUCCAAAUGAACCGUUUGCAAGAUUUCAGUUGUUUCUGUCAAUGUUUGCACUGCAGGAGAGACGUUGUAUUGUUCAAACAACCGAUCUGAACAGUUCUGACGCUCUUCAAGGAAAACCUCGCGCUUUGGCCUCGGAAUUCCAACAUUUAUAGCCGUGUUGUUCUGUACGCGUUUCUUUCUGCACUGAAUGGUAUAAAUAAAACGAUGGCUCAUCAUCAGAAGCUCAAGUUACAAAAGGUGUAAUGGACACAAAACUACAGUUCAAGUUGUUUGCUUUAACAACAUCAUCAGGUGAGGAACAUCAGCGAGAAAAUAUAACCAUUUGGUUGGACUUUGAGGAUGUACUACUUUGCUAACAGUAUUGCAGUGUCUUCCAGUCAUGAGGCCAAAGCUUCUCCACAGUGCUCGGUUUGCAGAUCCCAUGUCACUAGUCACAGCUAUGACAUUUCCGUCAGUGGAGUUUCCUGUGAAAUGGUAUGCUACUGUCUGUUUCCACCGUGAUGACAGUCCUCCCAACAUAAACACAAGAGCAUGAGUGGCACUACCACAAUGACCAGGCAAAGUCACAUUCCCAAGCAAUUGUCCACUACUUGCAUCAUACUCAAUACUAGGUGUAAUGGACAUUUCAUCUAAUGUGAGACAGCAGACUCUUUCCUCUUCACACAAAUUAUUUACCUUCACUGCUAAGUAUUCAAAAACUUGGCUGAGUAUGCCGGGCUCAAAUAGAACUGUUUCCAUCCGUCGUUGAAGAGUUCGAAGAGAUGGUAAAGGGUACUGCUGUUUUAAAAAUGACCACCGAAUUCCUCGCAUUCCUCGGGACAAUGCUAGCAGCUGAUCUUCAGCAAACAGUUUUUUAAUCUUUGAUUCCUGACUUGCCAUUUGCUUAGCAAGUGCAUUAUUUCUUCUUGUAAUUUUGUGCAGUUUGGC